Molecule: ribosomal RNA, 1489 nt
Filed under: metagenome
Description: bacterial SSU rRNA
Rfam family: Bacterial small subunit ribosomal RNA
Source: RNAcentral
AGAGUUUGAUCCUGGCUCAGAUUGAACGCUGGCGGCAUGCCUUACACAUGCAAGUCGAACGGCAGCACGGGAGCAAUCCUGGUGGCGAGUGGCGAACGGGUGAGUAACAUAUCGGAACGUGCCCAGUAGUGGGGGAUAGCCCGGCGAAAGCCGGAUUAAUACCGCAUACGACCUACGGGUGAAAGCGGGGGAUCGCAAGACCUCGUGCUAUUGGAGCGGCCGAUAUCAGAUUAGCUAGUUGGCGGGGUAAAAGCCCACCAAGGCGACGAUCUGUAGCUGGUCUGAGAGGACGACCAGCCACACUGGGACUGGGACACGGCCCAGACUCCUACGGGAGGCAGCAGUGGGGAAUUUUGGACAAUGGGCGCAAGCCUGAUCCAGCCAUGCCGCGUGUGGGAAGAAGGCCUUCGGGUUGUAAACCACUUUUGUCAGGGAAGAAACGGUUGGAUCUAAUACAUUCGACUAAUGACGGUACCUGAAGAAUAAGCACCGGCUAACUACGUGCCAGCAGCCGCGGUAAUACGUAGGGUGCAAGCGUUAAUCGGAAUUACUGGGCGUAAAGCGUGCGCAGGCGGCUUUGCAAGACAGAUGUGAAAUCCCCGGGCUCAACCUGGGAACUGCAUUUGUGACUGCAAGGCUAGAGUACGGUAGAGGGGGGUGGAACUCCGCGUGUAGCAGUGAAAUGCGUAGAUAUGCGGAGGAACACCGAUGGCGAAGGCAAUCCCCUGGACCUGUACUGACGCUCAUGCACGAAAGCGUGGGGAGCAAACAGGAUUAGAUACCCUGGUAGUCCACGCCCUAAACGAUGUCAACUGGUUGUUGGACGGCUUGCUGUUCAGUAACGAAGCUAACGCGUGAAGUUGACCGCCUGGGGAGUACGGCCGCAAGGUUGAAACUCAAAGGAAUUGACGGGGACCCGCACAAGCGGUGGAUGAUGUGGUUUAAUUCGAUGCAACGCGAAAAACCUUACCUACCCUUGACAUGUCUAGAAGUUACCAGAGAUGGUUUCGUGCUCGAAAGAGAACUAGAACACAGGUGCUGCAUGGCCGUCGUCAGCUCGUGUCGUGAGAUGUUGGGUUAAGUCCCGCAACGAGCGCAACCCUUAUCAUUAGUUGCUACGCAAGGGCACUCUAAUGAGACUGCCGGUGACAAACCGGAGGAAGGUGGGGAUGACGUCAGGUCAUCAUGGCCCUUAUGGGUAGGGCUACACACGUCAUACAAUGGCCGGUACAGAGGGCUGCCAACCCGCGAGGGGGAGCUAAUCUCAGAAAACCGGUCGUAGUCCGGAUCGCAGUCUGCAACUCGACUGCGUGAAGUCGGAAUCGCUAGUAAUCGCGGAUCAGCUUGCCGCGGUGAAUACGUUCCCGGGUCUUGUACACACCGCCCGUCACACCAUGGGAGCGGGUUCUGCCAGAAGUAGUUAGCCUAACCGCAAGGAGGGCGAUUACCACGGCAGGGUUCGUGACUGGGGUGAAGUCGUAACAAGGUA